Homo sapiens (human) is the source of this 2476-nucleotide long non-coding RNA. Ensembl annotates it as long intergenic non-protein coding RNA 1094. Lineage: Eukaryota; Metazoa; Chordata; Mammalia; Primates; Hominidae. The record is from Ensembl.
GCAUUUUGGCCAUUGUGGUGAAGCUGGGGCACAUUUUAUCUUCAGUACCAACUGUUGGCAGUCUUUUUUUUUUUCUGCUACUUGAGUUUCAUUUCCUUUCACACAGUGGCUAGAUACUUUCGUUCCAGUUUCUUCUUUUACUUAAAGUUGUCCUCUCUACAAGAAAUUCUGUUCUGUCUUCCUGAGGCUGCUGUUUCUGGGCAUGGCCAGGGGAUCUUCAGACUUUACAAACCAGUUGUGCAGAGCCAGGCAUUUCAAUAAGGAACAAAAUGCUGAGUAACAACAUGAAGUCAGAGUGUUGCUUGCCAAGAGCUGGGAGGCCUGGGUGGUUUCCCAAUCUUAAAGAAGCAGAAGGAUAUUAAAGUGAGCCUCCCAAAGGAAAACGUGGAUCUACUUACCAACGCAGAAAAUGAUACACACGGAUUCGAUUUAGGCACGCUACAUUCAAAUGACUUGGAAGAGCAGGUUCUCUGAGCCAGGAUACUAAAGUCCCUGUUUAGGAAAGAGCCACGUUGUAUGUUUACCCUACCACAAAGAUACAGAAUUCUGGAGGAAAGUGGCUCUGGGAAUUGAACAGUGGCUCAGUGAUGUUGGGGCCACCAAGUCUGCAAUUCUCCCUACCUGUUCUUCAUGGUUGUAAGAUGACUGCUGCAAUUCUCGGCAUCAUGUGCAUGUUAAUGUCAGGAGGAAGAAAGGAAGAGGGAGCACUGGGAUGUUACAUUCAUUUUGUCAGGAAAAGCAAAGCCUUUCCAGACAGCUCCGAAACUUGCUUACCUCUCAUUGGCCAGCACCAUCACUUGACCACUUGUCCACUCCUAGCUGCAAGGAAAGUGGCAAAGUAGAAGGUAUUUGAGAAUGUCUGCUGGGUUAGCCAAAACAAUAGUGACUUCUACACCCAAUUUUCUGGGCACUGCAGAAGUAUCCUUGAGUCCUAUGUGAUCAGAGGGAGAGCAAACCUCAAUAAUGAAACAGAUUCAAUUUCCAUCACCCAGUGAGACACCAUGGGAUUAGAAUAAAUUUUUAAAAAAACAAAUUGAAAAAAAUGCAUUUUUAAAACAACAAAAUCAGAAAGGAUGAAAGGUGAUAUUUCUAGCAUAUCAGUUUGUGGUGGUAAAUUAAUUACCUUAUACAAAGGCCUCAGUGACUUUCUUCUCCUUACCUAACGAAUCAUCUUUAAAAUAAGUAAAAUAAAGAAACAAGAGCAGCAGCAGAUGCUUCCUAAAAAGAAGUUACCAAAUCUGUUCACCACAAACCUGAGAAUUCAACUGUGGACAUUUGGACACCAGCAAUGAACAUGAAACUCAGCUUAUGAGGCAUAUUUGGCUAAAGGUCAAGGUGACUUAAAGUUCAUCAUAGGACAUCUACAAUUUGCAAAGCAGGUGACUGGAUAUGGACUCCUUCCAAGUCUCAUUUAAUUGGAUAAUGCCUACGUUUUAAGUAUCAGAAGUGAGUCUUUCUCUAUUAAAUGAAGUCAGUUCCACUAAAACCUAAAUCUUGUUUGGCAGGCACUCCAUGUUUCUUAAUUUUUAUUCCAUGCUGUAUAUUCUUUUAGACUUGAUUUUCACUUUUUUUUCUUUUUUCCUGUACAUUUAUCUUUGCUGUGAAACAAAGUGCCCUGCUUUGAAGGACAGGUUUGUGGGCUGCUGGUGGUGAGACAACAGCAGUCCUUCCAAGUCUUCCUCCCAUCACUCUGUUAGCUCUCCCUUUGUUUUUAAUUAGCAUUACACCAGUUAAUUCUGUUAUCUCUUAACCCUGGUUCUGCAUCCUCUUCUUCUUUUCUAUUCCUUACUCCGCUCCUGUUUUUUCUUGUUCUGCUUUUCCAAGAAAUGUCUUGUCUCCUCAUCAGUUGACUGUCUUCUCUUUCCAGAGGGACCAUAAAGGUGCCAGCCUAAGGAACACGUAAAACGUGGGAACAGACAAACAAGCUGCUGCCUAUUACAGAGAUAGAUAAUUAACUUUGGACCAUUACAUGCAAUUCAUCAGCUUAUCUUUUUCAAACUUUAUAUAAGAAGUCAUUUCCCAAUGGUAACCACUUGCCAGCUGCAACUUUGACGCAUAUUAUCAGGAUAGGUGAGAUUGAUGGGGGCCCUUUGAACUCUUCCCAGGGAAUUAUCUUUAUAAUGUUACAGUUUUCUCUAUAGCAUGGUCAUAUUGUUAACAUUGGUUAUAAGGUCAUAUGGUUAGUAUGGUUAGUAUUGGUGGCUCACAGCUGUAAUACCAGCACUUUGGGAGGCCAAGGUGGGAGGAUCACUUGAGCCCUGGUGUUCAAAACCAGCUCUGGAAACAUAGCAAGACCUUGUCUCUACAAAAAAAAAUUAAAUAAAUUAAAAGAUUAGCUGGGCAUGGUGGCACAUGCCUGUAGUCCUCACUACUUGGGAAACUAAGGUGGGAGGAUCCUUUGAGCUUGGGAGGUUGAGGCUGCAGUGAGCUGUGGUUGUGCCAUGGCACUCCAGCCUGGGUGACAGAGUGAGAGCCU